UGCCUACGGGGGGCAGCAGCGGGGGAUAUUGCACAAUGGGGGGAACACUGAUGCAGCGACGCCGCGUGGGGGAGGAAGCGCCUCGGCGCGAAAAGCCCUGUCAGCAGGGAAGAAAAUGACGGUACCUGAAGAAGAAGCCCCGGCUAACUACGUGCCAGCAGCCGCGGUAAUACGUAGGGGGCAAGCGUUAUCCGGAUUUACUGGGUGUAAAGGGGGCGCAGACGGCGAUGCAAGCCAGGAGUGAAAGCUCGGGGCCCAACCCCGGGAGUGCUCUUGGAACUGCGUGG
This 287-nucleotide ribosomal RNA is filed under the name uncultured bacterium. Its description in RNAcentral is "partial 16S ribosomal RNA". It matches the Rfam family "Bacterial small subunit ribosomal RNA", at positions 335 to 640 of the family's 1533-position model. The record is from RNAcentral.